AUCCGGUGUGGCUCAAUGGUUUGGGUUUUGGACAACAAUUCUGGAGGCCAGGGUUUGAUUCCCUGCUUGGCUA
Molecule: non-coding RNA, 73 nt
Organism: Phrynosoma platyrhinos (Desert horned lizard)
Lineage: Eukaryota; Metazoa; Chordata; Lepidosauria; Squamata; Phrynosomatidae
Source: the annotation of a GenBank genome assembly